This 323-nucleotide unclassified non-coding RNA is filed under the name soil metagenome. Its description in RNAcentral is "partial contains 5.8S ribosomal RNA, internal transcribed spacer 2, and large subunit ribosomal RNA". The stretch from base 1 to 120 matches the Rfam family "5.8S ribosomal RNA", at positions 35 to 154 of the family's 154-position model. The record is from RNAcentral.
GAUGAAGAACGUAGCGAAAUGCGAUAAGUAAUGCGAAUUGCAGAAUUCAGUGAGUCAUCGAAUCUUUGAACGCACAUUGCGCCCUGUGGUAUUCCGCAGGGCAUGCCUGUUCGAGCGUCAUUUCAACCCUCAAGCCCCGCUUGGUGUUGGGCCCCGCCCGCUGUGGCCGGCCCUAAAGACAGUGGCGGCGCCGCCUGGCCCUCAGCGUAGUACAUCUCUCGCUCCAGGGUCCGGUGGCCGCCUGCCAGAACCCCCCAACUCUGUGGUUGACCUCGGAUCAGGUAGGGAUACCCGCUGAACUUAAGCAUAUCAAUAAGCGGAGA